RNAcentral lists this ribosomal RNA (256 nucleotides) under uncultured bacterium. RNAcentral's name for it is "partial 16S ribosomal RNA". It matches the Rfam family "Bacterial small subunit ribosomal RNA", at positions 521 to 776 of the family's 1533-position model. The record is from RNAcentral.
UAAUACGUAGGGGGCAAGCGUUAUCCGGAAUUACUGGGUGUAAAGGGUGAGUAGGCGGCAUGGUAAGUUAGAUGUGAAAGCCCGGGGCUCAACUCCGGGAUUGCAUUUAAAACUACUAAGCUAGAGUACAGGAGAGGUAAGCGGAAUUCCUAGUGUAGCGGUGAAAUGCGUAGAUAUUAGGAAGAACACCGGUGGCGAAGGCGGCUUACUGGACUGAAACUGACGCUGAGGCACGAAAGCGUGGGGAGCAAACAGG